Molecule: long non-coding RNA, 1988 nt
Organism: Callithrix jacchus (white-tufted-ear marmoset)
Lineage: Eukaryota; Metazoa; Chordata; Mammalia; Primates; Cebidae
Source: Ensembl
AUGACUUCAUGCUCCCUCCUCACUCUUUCCACCUCUGGUCUGGGCAUGAAAUGCUUUAUGUGGGCAUACUAUUUGGUCACAGAAGGCUCUAACUGUCCUCAGAAAGGCACAUGCCCAGCCUCUGACAACAUUGCUGGGCCAGGAUGUCUGAUGAGAGACAUAAAGAUUGGGCCCAUGUUGGCGGCACCAUCACUGUCAUUUCAGAGUCCAUUUUCCUGGUUAACCAAAUGGAGUUUCACUUUUGUUGCCCAGGCUGGAGUGCAAUGACAUGAUCUCGGCUCACCACAACCUCCACCUCCCGGGUUCAGGGGAUUUUCCUGCCUCAGCCUCCCGAGUAGCUGGGAUUGCAGGCAUGUAUGACCACACUGACUAAUUUUGUAUUUUUAGUAGAGAUGGGAUUUCUCCAUGUUGGUCAGGCUGGUCUUGAACUCCCAACCUCAAGUGACCCACCCACCUCAGCCUCCCAAAGAGCUGAGAUUACAGGCAUGAGCCACUGCACCCAGUCUCUACUGUAACUUUUAGAGAAAUUAAAAUAAUAGUCCUUUCCUAUCUCUUCUCAAGCAAAAAGAUGACCUUUGAAAACAGUAAAUACGUGCAGGCUGACAUCAACCUCUGCAGUCCUGUUCUACCCUUUCCUGCAGUUUUGCAGUCAAGUAGGUUGACUUUAAUGAGUGGUUUCCCCUGAUGAGGCUGUUCUUAAAAUUCAGCUCUGUCUUUGCUCCAUGCUACCUAGACAUAGGAGCAGGAGAGAACCUCAAAGGCUCUGACUCAGCCAGAGCCUCUGGAGGCAGGUGAGGGCAGCUGGAAGGCAGGUGAGAGAUUCAGGUACACAAGCACACAAGAGGUAAGUCCUCCCUAAGGGGCUAGCCAUUUGGCGUAACAGGAAUCUAGCAGGUUUCGGAGGUUCUAUCUUUCUGUCCAUUUCUGCUGGUGAGUGUUGUACAGGUGACAGUGUUGUGAAAACGGCCUUUGGGGGAGAGUAGGAGGAAGCUGCUGACCUGUCCAUCAUUUGUUCACAUACCAUGUUUAACCAUCCUGAGGGGUCCUCCUGGGAGAGCUCAGCUGUAUUUAUCUCCCACUGAAUUGCCAGGUCCUUUCUGGUUGAUUAGGGAGAGGGCCGGUUCAGGCCUAUAUCAGAAACCAUCUGCUCUCAGGCCAGAGCCACGUGUAUGGAGUGAGAUCUCUCAGAGAGGUGGUGGGUAUGGUAUGAUAAGCUGGGAGUGACCCGCCCCCAGCACACACCCUUAUUAGAACCCAAGGGAACAGAAGCUCUUAAAGGACCAAUAUGAGGUAAGUUUGUUUCUCCAGCUUGCUUUGAUUGUUCAAAGCAUUGUCUGGUAUGAUUUAGGCUUAAAAGACAUUAAACUAAUUAUCACACAUUGUAAACAAUCAAGGACAUGACAUUGUCCCUUGCUUACUAAUAGGAUAUGUUCUUUUUAUGUUCUUUAUGAGACGGUGUAGCAAUGAUAGCUAUGCUACAUAGAUCAUUUAGAAGCCAGUACUUCCAGGUGUUGUUGAAAUAAAGCAGGACUGCUUAAGAUUCACUUAUGCUAAAAUACAGAUUCCCAGGGACCACUCCCAGAGAUUCUGAUUCUGUAGGUCUAAGGUAGGACCCAGGAAUCUGCAUUUUAGCAACUCUCCUCACCACUACCAACAUAUCCCCUAUCCACAUACACAUACCAGAUGCUUCUGAGGCGCAGUAUCAGAGGAUCCCACUUUGAGAAAAUCUGUAGAGAGAGCACCAGACCUAUGAUCUGUAGGCUUAGAUUUGGGAAUAGCUGUGUUGUCUUAAAUAAAUUCCUCCACCUCUCUGGGUCACCAUUUCUGUGUCUAUAAAAUGAGGGAACUAAUUCUUAAGGCCCUUUCCAGGACCAAUAUUUCAGGAUUUCAAGCACAUUCCUAAUGCCCUCCCUAUGGAUGUUCCAAAUCUUCUAUUGUGGAAGCCAAGCCCCAGAGUGAACUGUACCCUAAGGAGAAUGGUCACCUGC